GCUGCAGCAAGAGGAGGGUGGCAGGGAGAGGAGGAGGAGGAAGGGAAGAAGUGAGCAAGUGCUUCAGUGACCUGUGCUAACACCCAGAGCCUCAGGGACUCUCUGAGACCCCUCCACAUCUGUCCGGCUGUGGCAGCUCACACACAUGGCUUUCAUGGUAGACUUUCCACCUCACAGGGGAAUGCAGCCAUUCCAGUAAUUGUGGCCUGCUGACUGCCUGACACUUCCCACAAUACUUCCCAUGUCAUGGCCUCCCUCCCUGUAUCAUUACUAAACAGGGGAGCCAGUUCAGACAGGUUUUGGAAAGAGCUCCUGGGCUUCUAAAGCUCACUUCUCUCCCUCAUGGCACUCCCAGUCCCACAGUGUCACAGCAACUCCCGCCGUGCUGGCUGGGCCACCACUCUCCCUCCACAGGGACUAAUCAUAAAAAACAGUGCUCACAAAUCUACCCAGCAGAGCCUGUUGGUGCAUCCAGGGUGCUGACACGACAACCAGGCAGGGUGUGGAGAGAGAACAGCUGCUCAGCUGAAAGGAGAACUGGGAAUGGAGGACCAGGAACUGCUCUCAGCCUGUGCAAGGAUCCAGUGCGGUAUGCUGGAAGUAAACAAAUCCAAGGAGAAGGAAGUGAAAAACGGAAGCAAGGGGGAGGAGAGAAAUCACAGUGCUUGACCACUUCAGCAGCUGCAAACAAGAGAAGCAAUUGUCAUGUACCCUGGGGUGGAGGUGUCCUGAGAGUGCAGAAGCAAACCUGCCCCACCAGCACUAUGUCUGAGAGAGCUCCUGCACUGCACAGCCCUUGAGAAGAUACCCAGAAAUCAUCCAGAGGUUAGGAAAAAUCCUAUAGGCAGAGGAAGCUGGAAGGUGGCUUGAUAACCUCCCGUGGAGAAGCUGUUUAACCACUGGGGUGGUUUCAUCCUUGUAAGUAAGAGCAAAAUGUGGUCCAGGAAUUAUGAACUGAGCUUAGAUAAAAUUAAUCUUACAGAAAGAGAACAGGAUGAUUAAACACUUUACCCAGGAAAGUAACAGAGGCUGUUCAUGUGCUUUUAUAUGAGUUAUCUAUCUCCAUCCCACCUGGGGGUACAGCAGAGAAAACUCAGAGUGCAUGUGCCUGCGUGUGCAUGCAUGUUUGAAAUCAGGAGCACACCCCACACAUCCACUGGGGGGCUCCUAUACUGAAAAGGAAACUUACUGUUGUGCUCUUGAUGCUUAUAAAUUAUGCAGCUCUGCAACGGGACAAUGAUUAUAAUCAAAUCUCAUGCUUCAAGGCUUCAAGGUCAGGAAAAAAAUAACACCCUUCACACCACUAACAGCACAUGCUCCAAAUCCCUCUAGUACCCCAUGGGCAACACUUUUCAUUUUCCACAUGCUCAGACAUUCUGGGGAUCUUGGGAACUUCCUACCUGCCUAUGCCUGUGCUCAUAUGAGCCUACCCCCAGUGGUGAUAAGUUUUGGAAAACUGGUAACAUUCAUCUAGUCUAAAAGGCAUUAGUUUGAUAUUUGGAGUCUUGGGAUCUGCA
This 1517-nucleotide long non-coding RNA is filed under the name Anas platyrhynchos platyrhynchos (common mallard). RNAcentral describes it as "lncRNA (ENSAPLG00000029836.1)". Lineage: Eukaryota; Metazoa; Chordata; Aves; Anseriformes; Anatidae. The record is from RNAcentral.